UUGGAGGGCAAGUCUGGUGCCAGCAGCCGCGGUAAUUCCAGCUCCAAUAGCGUAUAUUAAAGUUGUUGCAGUUAAAAAGCUCGUAGUUGAAUUUCGGGGUUAGUAGGUUGGUCAUGCCUCUGGUAUGUACUGGUCUCACUGAUUCCUCCUUCCUGAUGAACCUUAAUGCCAUUAAUUUGGUGUUUUGGGGAAUUUGGACUGUUACUUUGAAAAAAUUAGAGUGUUUAAAGCAAGCUAACGCUUGAAUACAUUAGCAUGGAAUAAUGAAAUAGGACGUUCGAUCCUAUUUUGUUGGUUUCUAGGAUUGACGUAAUGAUUAAUAGGGAUAGUUGGGGGCAUUAGUAUUCAAUUGUCAGAGGUGAAAUUCUUGGAUUUAUUGAAGACUAACUACUGCGAAAGCAUCUGCCAAGGAUGUUUUCAUUAAUCAAGAACGAAAGUUAGGGGAUCGAAGACGAUCAGAUACCGUCGUAGUCUUAACCAUAAACUAUGCCGACUAGGGAUCGGAUGAUGUUAAUUUUUUAAUGACUCAUUCGGCGCCUUACGGGAAAC
RNAcentral lists this ribosomal RNA (549 nucleotides) under uncultured Glomeromycotina. RNAcentral's name for it is "SSU rRNA". It matches the Rfam family "Eukaryotic small subunit ribosomal RNA", at positions 548 to 1098 of the family's 1831-position model. Lineage: Eukaryota; Fungi; Glomeromycota. The record is from RNAcentral.